This 457-nucleotide long non-coding RNA is filed under the name Phasianus colchicus (ring-necked pheasant). RNAcentral describes it as "lncRNA (ENSPCLG00000003068.1)". Lineage: Eukaryota; Metazoa; Chordata; Aves; Galliformes; Phasianidae. The record is from RNAcentral.
UAGAUGUUACCCUCUUUUAGCCAUUCAUUGAAACUGAAGCGUGUGAUGGGAAUUUGUGCUUUGCCUUUUUAAAACUUGCAAAUUCAAGUGCAUGUUAUUUAGACUCCAGCUUACGAUGGGAAAAUAAAGCUCUGACGGGGAAAGUCACUACUGGUGGCAGACAUGCUGAACAGGACAUACCUUCCUGAGCACAACACAGAUGGCACUGCAGAACAAGAGAGAAAGUCUAUCAGCAUGCUACAUUACCUUCGCAUCUGGGAAGCUCCAGGCAAUCCAGCAAGGCACUGAAGAGGAUCGGGUGCUGCAGGCAGGAAAACUGCGUAAUCCGAGGAUAGCCAGAGAAAAUGACACAGGAAGGAUAGGGAGGAGAACAGCGCGAUAUAAACUUCUGGAAGCUUCACAAUUCCACUCUUCUAGUAGAAUUCAUUGUAGAUACCUUCCUGCCUAUCUGGCAUGA